RNAcentral lists this ribosomal RNA (467 nucleotides) under uncultured bacterium. RNAcentral describes it as "partial 16S ribosomal RNA". It matches the Rfam family "Bacterial small subunit ribosomal RNA", at positions 28 to 507 of the family's 1533-position model. The record is from RNAcentral.
AACGAACGCUGGCGGCGUGCUUAACACAUGCAAGUCGAACGAUGACGCCCGCUCCUGCCCGGUCUGAUGAGUCGCGAACGGGUGAGUAACACGUGAGCAACCUCCCCUUCACUCUGGAGUAACCCCAGGACAUCGGGGAUAAUACCGGAGAUGAGCUCCUGAAACCUGGCGGGCGUUGGAAAGCUUUCCGGGGUAGGGUGGGCUGUCGGCUUAUCAGUUUGGUGGGGGAGUAGUGGCUCAACAAGGCGAUGGCGGGUAGCCGGCCUGGGAGGGCGACCCGCCCCCCUGGGACUGAGGCACGGCCCAGACUGCUACGUGAGGCAGCAGUGGGGAAUAUUGCACAAUGGGCGAAAGCCUGAUGCAGCGACGCCGCGUGAGUGAUGACGGCCUUCUGGUUGUAAACCUCUUUCAGCAGGGAAGAAGCGAAAGUGACGGUACCUGCAGAAGAAGCGCCGGCUAACUACGUG